AGAGUUUGAUCCUGGCUCAGGAUGAACGCUAGCGACAGGCUUAACACAUGCAAGUCGAGGGGCAGCACAGGUAGCAAUACCGGGUGGCGACCGGCGCACGGGUGAGUAACGCGUAUGCAACUUGCCUAUCAGAGGGGGAUAACCCGGCGAAAGUCGGACUAAUACCGCAUGAAGCAGGGAUCCCGCAUGGGAAUAUCUGCUAAAGAUUCAUCGCUGAUAGAUAGGCAUGCGUUCCAUUAGGCAGUUGGCGGGGUAACGGCCCACCAAACCGACGAUGGAUAGGGGUUCUGAGAGGAAGGUCCCCCACAUUGGUACUGAGACACGGACCAAACUCCUACGGGAGGCAGCAGUGAGGAAUAUUGGUCAAUGGCCGAGAGGCUGAACCAGCCAAGGCGCGUGAGGGAUGAAGGUUCUAUGGAUCGUAAACCUCUUUUAUAAGGGAAUAAAGUGCGGGACGUGUCCCGUUUUGUAUGUACCUUAUGAAUAAGGAUCGGCUAACUCCGUGCCAGCAGCCGCGGUAAUACGGAGGAUCCGAGCGUUAUCCGGAUUUAUUGGGUUUAAAGGGUGCGUAGGCGGCCUUUUAAGUCAGCGGUGAAAGUCUGUGGCUCAACCAUAGAAUUGCCGUUGAAACUGGGGGGGCUUGAGUAUGUUUGAGGCAGGCGGAAUGCGUGGUGUAGCGGUGAAAUGCAUAGAUAUCACGCAGAACCCCGAUUGCGAAGGCAGCCUGCCAAGCCAUUACUGACGCUGAUGCACGAAAGCGUGGGGAUCAAACAGGAUUAGAUACCCUGGUAGUCCACGCAGUAAACGAUGAUCACUAGCUGUUUGCGAUACACUGUAAGCGGCACAGCGAAAGCGUUAAGUGAUCCACCUGGGGAGUACGCCGGCAACGGUGAAACUCAAAGGAAUUGAUGGGGGCCCGCACAAGCGGAGGAACAUGUGGUUUAAUUCGAUGAUACGCGAGGAACCUUACCCGGGUUUGAACGCAUUCGGACCGAGGUGGAAACACCUUUUCUAGCAAUAGCCGUUUGCGAGGUGCUGCAUGGUUGUCGUCAGCUCGUGCCGUGAGGUGUCGGCUUAAGUGCCAUAACGAGCGCAACCCUUGCCACUAGUUACUAACAGGUAAAGCUGAGGACUCUGGUGGGACUGCCAGCGUAAGCUGCGAGGAAGGCGGGGAUGACGUCAAAUCAGCACGGCCCUUACAUCCGGGGCGACACACGUGUUACAAUGGCGUGGACAAAGGGAAGCCACCUGGCGACAGGGAGCGAAUCCCCAAACCACGUCCCAGUUUGGAUCGGAGUCUGCAACCCGACUCCGUGAAGCUGGAUUCGCUAGUAAUCGCGCAUCAGCCAUGGCGCGGUGAAUACGUUCCCGGGCCUUGUACACACCGCCCGUCAAGCCAUGGGAGCCGGGGGUACCUGAAGUCCGUAACCGCGAGGAUCGGCCUAGGGUAAAACUGGUGACUGGGGCUAAGUCGUAGCAAGGUA
Molecule: ribosomal RNA, 1484 nt
Filed under: metagenome
Description: bacterial SSU rRNA
Rfam family: Bacterial small subunit ribosomal RNA
Source: RNAcentral